AAUUUUUUUUAAAAAUUUAUAUAUAACCUAUUAAGUGUAAAAAGAAGGGCCUUCAGAAAUAUGGGUUGCUUUACCUGCUUUAUGGAUGGGACGCCCUUGACUUAAUGUUAUGUGCAAAAAACUCGCAGUUGUUUGUUAGAUCUCAAUUUUAUGUCUUGAACGUUUGAAGUAAUAUUCUUGGAAUUCUGAUUUGCCUUGAAUAGUCCGAUGUUCCUUUUCUGGUAAAUUGAGAUUCUAUUUGAGGAAUGAAAAUCACGCGUUCUUGGAGCAUCUUCUCACCAGUUUCCAGCCACAAAAUCCCCCUAAAAGAAGCUCGAAAAAGUCUCUAAACUCGCACCAAAUAACCCCCAAAUAAUGCUGAAGCUAGAUCUAAAAGAGCAGCUCCCUUUUCUUCAUCCCAAACAAAAUCGACACCCAGCAAUAGCCAUGAAAUUUGCUCGAAAUCAACCUCAAUAACUAGUAGAAAGCAGCCACAAAUAGCUCAUUUUCAGUUUGUUCGUCGUCGAGUUUCGGGCGAGUUAGAGGUCCGUUGAGUUCCGACGAGGUUUUCAGCGCAAAGUCGGAUCAUAUUCUCGGGUUCGAGUUCAUUGUUGAGGAAUUGGAAAUCGACAUUGAGUCCUAUCAUGUUUAGUCAUUGGUACCGGCGUAAGUUUUGCGAUUACACAUUUCUGUUUUUAGAAUUUGCUUCCGUAACUUUGUAGUUAUUCGAUUCUCUUUCAAAUGUUGCUUCUUUUUCAAUGGUAUAAUGCAAUUGGUUGUUAUAUUCUAUUUGUGAUGUCUCGCUGAGUUAAUUUUGAUGGUACCAUCAUAACAACAUUGCGAAUUGUUUGCUUAUUUCUCUGAUUGAGGAAUGAAAAAGGUUUUUGCAUUAGAG
Molecule: long non-coding RNA, 874 nt
Filed under: Nicotiana benthamiana
Lineage: Eukaryota; Viridiplantae; Streptophyta; Magnoliopsida; Solanales; Solanaceae
Description: long non-coding RNA (NBEN_LNC004296)
Source: RNAcentral